This 607-nucleotide ribosomal RNA is filed under the name uncultured Humicola. RNAcentral describes it as "eukaryotic LSU rRNA". The stretch from base 239 to 392 matches the Rfam family "5.8S ribosomal RNA". Lineage: Eukaryota; Fungi; Ascomycota. The record is from RNAcentral.
UCUUGGUCAUUUAGAGGAAGUAAAAGUCGUAACAAGGUCUCCGUUGGUGAACCAGCGGAGGGAUCAUUACAGAGUUGCAAAACUCCCUAAACCAUUGUGAACGUUACCUAAACCGUUGCUUCGGCGGGCGGCCCGGGUCUCUCCCGGCGCCCCUGGGCCCCUCGCGGGCGCCCGCCGGAGGUAAACCAAACUAUUGCAUUGUAUGGCCUCUCUGAGUCUUUUGUACUGAAUAAGUCAAAACUUUCAACAACGGAUCUCUUGGUUCUGGCAUCGAUGAAGAACGCAGCGAAAUGCGAUAAGUAAUGUGAAUUGCAGAAUUCAGUGAAUCAUCGAAUCUUUGAACGCACAUUGCGCCCGCCAGUAUUCUGGCGGGCAUGCCUGUUCGAGCGUCAUUUCAACCAUCAAGCCCCGGGCUUGUGUUGGGGACCUGCGGCUGCCGCAGGCCCUGAAAUGCAGUGGCGGGCUCGCUGUCACUCCGAGCGUAGUAGUUACAUCUCGCUCUGGGCGUGCUGCGGGUUCCGGCCGUUAAAAGCCUUAUUUACCCAAGGUUGACCUCGGAUCAGGUAGGAAGACCCGCUGAACUUAAGCAUAUCAAUAAGCGGAGGAA